This 93-nucleotide transfer RNA is filed under the name Deferribacterales bacterium. RNAcentral's name for it is "tRNA-Ser". It matches the Rfam family "tRNA". Rfam says of the family: Transfer RNA (tRNA) molecules are approximately 80 nucleotides in length. Their secondary structure includes four short double-helical elements and three loops (D, anti-codon, and T loops). RNAcentral also lists the same sequence under 1 other name. Lineage: Bacteria; Pseudomonadati; Deferribacterota; Deferribacteres; Deferribacterales. The record is from RNAcentral.
GGAGAGGUGGCCGAGUAUGGUCGAAGGCGCUCGCCUGCUAAGUGAGUAUGCGGCUUAACACCGCAUCGAGGGUUCAAAUCCCUCCCUCUCCGC